CUCAGAACGAACGCUGGCGGCAUGCCUAACACAUGCAAGUCGAACGAGACCUUCGGGUCUAGUGGCGCACGGGUGCGUAACGCGUGGGAAUCUGCCCUUUGCUUCGGAAUAACAGUUAGAAAUGACUGCUAAUACCGGAUGAUGUCUUCGGACCAAAGAUUUAUCGGCAAAGGAUGAGCCCGCGUAGGAUUAGGUAGUUGGUGGGGUAAAGGCCUACCAAGCCGACGAUCCUUAGCUGGUCUGAGAGGAUGAUCAGCCACACUGGGACUGAGACACGGCCCAGACUCCUACGGGAGGCAGCAGUGGGGAAUAUUGGACAAUGGGCGCAAGCCUGAUCCAGCAAUGCCGCGUGAGUGAUGAUGGCCUUCGGGUCGUAAAGCUCUUUACCAGGGAUGAUAAUGACAGUACCUGGAGAAUAAGCUCCGGCUAACUCCGUG
This 437-nucleotide ribosomal RNA is filed under the name uncultured bacterium. RNAcentral describes it as "bacterial SSU rRNA". It matches the Rfam family "Bacterial small subunit ribosomal RNA", at positions 23 to 507 of the family's 1533-position model. The record is from RNAcentral.